Long non-coding RNA from Dendronephthya gigantea, 628 nucleotides. RefSeq lists it as uncharacterized. The record is from RefSeq and is a predicted model, not a curated record. The transcript has 5 exons. NCBI's taxonomy places the organism in Eukaryota, Metazoa, Cnidaria, Anthozoa, Malacalcyonacea, Nephtheidae.
GCCAAGAAAAAGAAAUUCAGGAAAAUUCAGCCAUGGAUUGGGUCAAUCAUUAAUCAUAUUUAUUGGGUUGGUGACUCCAGUGAGACUGAGGAUGAAAGAGAGGAAAAAUGGCGCAGUAUUCUAAACCAUAUAAUCAAUGUUCAUGAACAUGCUGGCCAUAAAGUGUUUGUAAAAUGUCUCCAUGGCACAAUUGAAAGAGACUGGAUUAAAAAAGGAUCAGCUGCUCACAAAAAAUUGGAAGAGAUGUUAACAAGGCCACGGCUCAUUUCUGCAAUCCGCAAGUUAUCGAAAUAUCAUCAGACAUCUGGUUUGGAGGCCAAACAUGCUUUAGACAACUUACUGGCCUCAAAGAACACUUAUCAUUCCUAUCAUUCAUUGAGUGCAAGAUUGUACUGUUCAAACUUGCACUACAAUGAAAACAGCAACAGAAAGCAGGCAACAACUGCUGAUGGAAAGCUGAGAUGGGCCAUAUCUUAUCCAAAGGCUUUUAAAGGAGAGAAAGCUGUGGCAAAACCUUUAAAAGAAAAACCGACCUAUGAGUAUGUACAUUUGAUAUUAAGUCAAGUUAUAAAACUCCGAAAGCAGUACCCUACAUUGAAGAAGGCCAAAGAACAUGCAAGCAAUGUAC